RNAcentral lists this ribosomal RNA (523 nucleotides) under Pichia kudriavzevii. RNAcentral describes it as "eukaryotic LSU rRNA". It matches the Rfam family "Eukaryotic large subunit ribosomal RNA", at positions 68 to 602 of the family's 3401-position model. Lineage: Eukaryota; Fungi; Ascomycota; Pichiomycetes; Pichiales; Pichiaceae. The record is from RNAcentral.
ACAGGGAUUGCCUCAGUAGCGGCGAGUGAAGCGGCAAGAGCUCAGAUUUGAAAUCGUGCUUUGCGGCACGAGUUGUAGAUUGCAGGUUGGAGUCUGUGUGGAAGGCGGUGUCCAAGUCCCUUGGAACAGGGCGCCCAGGAGGGUGAGAGCCCCGUGGGAUGCCGGCGGAAGCAGUGAGGCCCUUCUGACGAGUCGAGUUGUUUGGGAAUGCAGCUCCAAGCGGGUGGUAAAUUCCAUCUAAGGCUAAAUACUGGCGAGAGACCGAUAGCGAACAAGUACUGUGAAGGAAAGAUGAAAAGCACUUUGAAAAGAGAGUGAAACAGCACGUGAAAUUGUUGAAAGGGAAGGGUAUUGCGCCCGACAUGGGGAUUGCGCACCGCUGCCUCUCGUGGGCGGCGCUCUGGGCUUUCCCUGGGCCAGCAUCGGUUCUUGCUGCAGGAGAAGGGGUUCUGGAACGUGGCUCUUCGGAGUGUUAUAGCCAGGGCCAGAUGCUGCGUGCGGGGACCGAGGACUGCGGCCGUGU